UAACGAGUUAACAUAUUGAGACUUCAAUUCACGAUAAUAAAAGACUCUAAUGCAUCAAGAAUCAAACAUAAAUGCCUGUUGCAGCAGGACAGAUAGUGGUAAAUUUCCCUAUUCAGAAUGAGACAAUUUCCAGCAAAAGUUGGCUGAUUAAGUACUUAGCUUGUGAUCCAUGUCACAGAACAGAGAGCAACUAUAAUAAUUUGAAGAGAGCCCAGCAUUUGUUAAACUAAAAAUAAGCUGGCAUUUUAGCCCCACCAUGGCUGUAUCACAUUAAUCUAUUUAAAAGGCUAAAAGGAUAGACAAUGUAUUAAAUUUUCAAUGCUUUUAUAUCUUGCACGAUGACAGACAACAUCAAACCUUUUUUCAUUAUAUCCUGAAGUGGGAUGGCCUUACAGGAACUUCUGUUCACAGGCACUAGAUGGACUAAACCACAUUGUGCUGGAGUGACAUAUCUACUUAGCUGAGGUAACAUAUCCUCCUUGCAGUUUGCCCCCGAACUUAUUUCUUGUGAUCCCUCAACCUUCACUUUCUUUACUUUAUCAGCUAUAUCCUCUUUUCCUUUCUCUUGGAGCUGUGACAAUUUUACCGAAACAGCAGGUUUCGCCUUAUUGUUCCUCUUAUCGGAGCCUUUUUUAACCUAUCACCAAUAUGAACAUAUUUGACCACAAGCAAUUCAUAUAACACAAUUAUUUUUAUUUCCAAAUGGCGAACAUUGUGUGUCAACAAAAAAAGAAAACCUGAAUUUUGCUUCCGUUGAUGCAAUUCAUGUGAGAGUUCUCAUGAAGUACAUUCGUCAUGUCUUUAAGAACAGCCCUUCUCUUAGGCUGAACACCAGUAGCAGUACUAGAGGUACCAGGUCUGUUCUCAUCUGAGGCAGAUCUUUUCGACUUUUGGACUCUGCUCCCAAUACAUGCUUCUUAUCCCUUUUUUUGUGGAUGGGUGGUAGGGGGUGGUAAUUNNNNNNNNNNNNNNNNNNNNNNNNNUAUCCUGAAGUGGGAUGGCCUUACAGGAACUUCUGUUCACAGGCACUAGAUGGACUAAACCACAUUGUGCUGGAGUGACAUAUCUACUUAGCUGAGGUAACAUAUCCUCCUUGCAGUUUGCCCCCGAACUUAUUUCUUGUGAUCCCUCAACCUUCACUUUCUUUACUUUAUCAGCUAUAUCCUCUUUUCCUUUCUCUUGGAGCUGUGACAAUUUUAC
RNAcentral lists this long non-coding RNA (1200 nucleotides) under Nicotiana tabacum (common tobacco). RNAcentral's name for it is "long non-coding RNA (NTAB_LNC016867)". The record is from RNAcentral. Lineage: Eukaryota; Viridiplantae; Streptophyta; Magnoliopsida; Solanales; Solanaceae.